This 539-nucleotide long non-coding RNA is filed under the name Panax ginseng (ginseng). Its description in RNAcentral is "long non-coding RNA (PGIN_LNC007730)". Lineage: Eukaryota; Viridiplantae; Streptophyta; Magnoliopsida; Apiales; Araliaceae. The record is from RNAcentral.
CCAAAUCCCUUUAUCAAAAACAGAAUUUGUUUCCCUUUACCUAAAUUCCCAAAUCCCUUUAUCUAAAUUCCAUCAAAUCCAAAGCCUAAGACCACCGAAGCAGAAGAAGCCUAAGACCACCGAAGCAUGGGGUGUUGACAGUGACGGUGGAGAAGUUGCCGCCACCGAAGCUAAUCUCUCACAGACCCUCUCUCUCUCGUCUAAUCUCAGACCCUCUCUCACGAUCACUGAAAUUGCUCGAUCUUGCCUCUUCUACAAAAUUCUUAUUUCACUAGUGGUAGAGAAAAGAGAGGAAAUAACGACAUCUCCUCCUUCCCCUCCUUCAAAUCUGUUGUGGAUUAAAUAUGAAAUUGUUUGUUUAAUCGGCUGUUUUUUAUUUUGAUCUGGUGUUGGGUAUUGUUCUGGCCGGAUUCUAUGGCUUUGGGUAGGCGACUGUUGGACUGGUAGUGGUGGGUCGACGGAUUUAGGGUUUCAAUUUUGGUGAGGAAGAGAUGAACAGUAGGGGGUUUGAUUUGGAAUUAAUUAGGAAAAAAUGAGGA